CCCCCACCGGGAGAGGUUUUUUCGCCCCACUUGGGGAUUGAGACCCCGGCCCCAAAUUUCUUAGGGGGGGGCCGCCGGUAGGGAUUUUUCCCACAAGGGAAGAAAUUUUUGAAGGAAACAACCGCCGCCUGAAUGAAAGAAGGGUUUUGGGUUCGUAAAAUUCUGUUGUUAAAGAAGAACAUAUCUGAGAGUAACUGUUCAGGUAUUGACGGUAUUUAACCAGAAAGCCACGGCUAAUUACGUGCCAGCAGCCGCGGUAAUACGUAGGUGGCAAGCGUUGUCCGGAUUUAUUGGGCGUAAAGCGAGCGCAGGCGGUUUUUUAAGUCUGAUGUGAAAGCCUUCGGCUCAACCGAAGAAGUGCAUCGGAAACUGGGAAACUUGAGUGCAGAAGAGGACAGUGGAACUCCAUGUGUAGCGGUGAAAUGCGUAGAUAUAUGGAAGAACACCAGUGGCGAAGGCGGCUGUCUGGUCUGUAACUGACGCUGAGGCUCGAAAGUAUGGGUAGCAAACAGGAUUAGAUACCCUGGUAGUCCAUACCGUAAACGAUGAAUGCUAAGUGUUGGAGGGUUUCCGCCCUUCAGUGCUGCAGCUAACGCAUUAAGCAUUCCGCCUGGGGAGUACGGCCGCAAGGCUGAAACUCAAAGGAAUUGACGGGGGCCCGCACAAGCGGUGGAGCAUGUGGUUUAAUUCGAAGCUACGCGAAGAACCUUACCAGGUCUUGACAUACUAUGCAAAUCUAAGAGAUUAGACGUUCCCUUCGGGGACAUGGAUACAGGUGGUGCAUGGUUGUCGUCAGCUCGUGUCGUGAGAUGUUGGGUUAAGUCCCGCAACGAGCGCAACCCUUAUUAUCAGUUGCCAGCAUUAAGUUGGGCACUCUGGUGAGACUGCCGGUGACAAACCGGAGGAAGGUGGGGAUGACGUCAAAUCAUCAUGCCCCUUAUGACCUGGGCUACACACGUGCUACAAUGGAUGGUACAACGAGUUGCGAACUCGCGAGAGUAAGCUAAUCUCUUAAAGCCAUUCUCAGUUCGGAUUGUAGGCUGCAACUCGCCUACAUGAAGUCGGAAUCGCUAGUAAUCGCGGAUCAGCAUGCCGCGGUGAAUACGUUCCCGGGCCUUGUACACACCGCCCGUCACACCAUGAGAGUUUGUAACACCCAAAGUCGGUGGGGUAACCUUUAGGAACCAGCCGCCUAAGUGGACAGAGAUUGGA
RNAcentral lists this ribosomal RNA (1212 nucleotides) under Lactiplantibacillus plantarum. RNAcentral describes it as "bacterial SSU rRNA". It matches the Rfam family "Bacterial small subunit ribosomal RNA", at positions 280 to 1479 of the family's 1533-position model. Lineage: Bacteria; Bacillati; Bacillota; Bacilli; Lactobacillales; Lactobacillaceae. The record is from RNAcentral.